GAUGAACGCUGGCGGCGUGCCUUAUGCAUGCAAGUCGAACGAGGUUAGAAUUUCGGUUCGAAGCCUAGUGGCGGACGGGUGAGUAACACGUACGUGACCUGUCCAGAAGUGGGGAAUAACCGGCCGAAAGGUUGGCUAAUACCGCAUGUGGUCACCCCUUGGAAGGGGAUGACGAAAGCCGAAAGGCGCUUCUGGAGGGGCGUGUGUCCGAUUAGCUAGUUGGUGUGGUAACGGCGCACCAAGGCGAUGAUCGGUAGCUGGUCUGAGAGGAUGGUCAGCCACACUGGGACUGAGAUACGGCCCAGACUCCUACGGGAGGCAGCAGCAGGGAAUUUUUGCGCAAUGGGCGAAAGCCUGACGCAGCAACGCCGCGUGGGGGAUGAAGGCUCUUGGGUCGUAAACCCC
RNAcentral lists this ribosomal RNA (405 nucleotides) under uncultured bacterium. RNAcentral's name for it is "bacterial SSU rRNA". It matches the Rfam family "Bacterial small subunit ribosomal RNA", at positions 28 to 433 of the family's 1533-position model. The record is from RNAcentral.